GGACGGCCACUGCUCCGGGCACUCCGGGAAGCAUUGGCAGUAGCAGCACCGACACCGCCAUUAAUGGCAGCAGCGACCCCGCUGUAGCAGGUGCCAACUCAGCAGCAGCACAGCAGCAGCAGCUGCCAAGCCCGGGGGCACCACCACCACCACCACCACCACCCACACUACCGAACGCGCGACGUCGCCUCACCCUCCUGCCGCAACCGUCGCCCUCAGGGCCCGCAGCUGCCCCAGUCGACAUCUCCUCCACAUUCUCGGGUAGUCUGCAGAGUACGACAAUGGAAGCGGUUGCCAUGGCUUGCGGCACCCCCUGGGGGUCCCAUUCCGGAGAGC
Molecule: long non-coding RNA, 336 nt
Filed under: Volvox carteri
Lineage: Eukaryota; Viridiplantae; Chlorophyta; Chlorophyceae; Chlamydomonadales; Volvocaceae
Description: long non-coding RNA (VCAR_LNC000766)
Source: RNAcentral